RNAcentral lists this long non-coding RNA (684 nucleotides) under Gouania willdenowi (blunt-snouted clingfish). RNAcentral's name for it is "lncRNA (ENSGWIG00000006082.1)". The record is from RNAcentral. Lineage: Eukaryota; Metazoa; Chordata; Actinopteri; Blenniiformes; Gobiesocidae.
GAAAACCAUUUACGUCCAUAGGCAGCUCUCUACGCUGCCUAUGGACGUAACCGCGCUAUGCCAAAUGCUAUACGUAAGUUCCCAGUGCAUUAGUAAAUUGAUACAGCGUCGCCACUGCUACGUUCUCUAGCAAGUGGGCGGGAUAACACUACAGCGAGGAUGACAGCGCUAGAGACAUUAAAGAAACUUUCUUUUGAGGAAAAACAACAGCUUUUAAAAGAUGGAAGACCAACACCUGAGCUACCAGACCUUCAGCAAAGCUCCUUUCAGGGAUUACAGGCUUCUCCUGUUCUGUCCUGCCCGUGUGAAGAUCCCACAUCUUACUGCAGCCCUGCAGGUGGAUUUCCCUGCGAUAGCACACCUGUGUGUCAAUGAACCAUCUAAACUUAAAGCAGACUGCAGCAGGGAAAAUGAUCUGAAGAUGCAGAUUUAGUGUUCAUUUGUCAACUCCAUCUUUGUGUACUCCAGUUGAAGUAACUAUUUUCUAUAUCUUCUACACACAUCCAAUAUUAUCAUGGUUUCAAUAUGAUUUUGCAAAGGAUUAAACAGCUGCUCUGCUACACUUCUACCCAGACAGAGAGAGACACAAGUGAUGUCAGUGAGCAAACUUUAUUAUCACUAUGAAUGAAAUCACAUCUUUAAACUACGGCAGUCUAUUUUCAAAUAAAUCUUCACAUGCAACCA